Molecule: long non-coding RNA, 1311 nt
Filed under: Anser cygnoides (Swan goose)
Lineage: Eukaryota; Metazoa; Chordata; Aves; Anseriformes; Anatidae
Description: lncRNA (ENSACDG00005010813.1)
Source: RNAcentral
UGACACUGAUGAAAAAGAAUCACUGAAAUGAAAAAAUAUUGAAAAUAUUUGAAAAUACGAAAAUACUCUGUUGAGAACAUUGCUUCACAUAACGAACAGCUCAUUUGCUAUUCCUGGCUGUUGGAGUCUAGCUCCGUGCUUUUGCAAUAGAUAUUUUAAAAUAAAAGCUAAAUAACAUGUUUGUCUUGUAUUGCGUACUUGAAACAUUUGUGGAAACAAACAAGCACCCUCUCUUUUCAUGUGGUAGUGUCUAUAGGUCUUGAAACUAGUAGAUAGACCGAAUACACAGGGGUUUCACAAACCGUUCUCCAGCAAAAAUCUGCGCAUAGGAGCUGACUCCUUAUCUGCACUUCAAUCAACUGAGCUUAUUGUUAAAGUUUUACAAAGCAACCCAGCAGCAAGGUGAAAGAUGAAGAGAUUAUUGAAUAAUAGAUAAGAAUAUUUUUAGUCAGCUCAGAUGUAUUCAUGUAGCUGAGAACACACUGGGAAAAAGCCCGCAGAAAGGCACUGGCUGGAUUCCAGCAGAGGCAAACCUGCUGUCAGUGCCCCACGAGGGCCGGGGGCCUCCUGGGGCUGGGGGCUCCCCGUGGCUCCCCCAGGGCAGGGCCUGUCCCACCGCCCAGCCAGGAGCAGGGCAUGGAGGCACCGGACACCUCCUUGGGGAUGGGGAUGUUUUUGCUUUCUUUUCAUUCAGAGCUUUAUAAGCUCAGCAAUCCCGCUCUUCAAUUUGUAGCAGCAGGAACUGUAAACUUGUUCCCGAGCUUGUUCCUUCCCAUCGGGUUUCAUCUGCUGCCUCGCACAUGGCCGCAGAGGCAGAGCCGGGGAGAUGAGCAGGGGUGGGAAUGAAAAGGGAUUUCGCUCAGUGAGCUAUCAAGAAACGAAGGGGGCAGUCCACCUGCAGACUUACAGGGGUUGGCAGCACAGCGAGAGCCCACCAGAGAGUAUGCUCCUGCAAUUGCAGACCUAAGGAAGCCCCUGACAGAAGGGUGCUGAGGUGAGCAGGAAGCUCUGCAGAGCAGUGAAUGUCCCCGUAUUCAAAUCGCCCAAGGGCUGCAGUGAAGGUGCCCAUGCUUUAGAUGGGACAAAAGGUGAAAAGUAAAGCCCCAACUUUCUGCCCAGCCCAAACUGCGUGGACAUUUGAGCUGCUGGUGAAUCGACAUGAAUCAGCCCUCUUCUACCACAGAACAUAACCAUGAUGUAAACUGAGGUGAUGCAGCAGCUGACUCAGUCACCUUGCACGUCCAGCAUGAGGCACAGCACCGGGGCAGCAAGCUGCCAGCCACCCCCAAAUAAACGCAUAUAGCCUGGGCA